GAUGAAGAACGUAGCGAAAUGCGAUAAGUAAUGUGAAUUGCAGAAUUCAGUGAAUCAUCGAAUCUUUGAACGCAUCUUGCGCUCCUUGGUAUUCUGAGGAGCAAGCCUGUUUGAGUGUCAUUAAAUUCUCAACUACACUGACUUUGAAUUGGUGUGGCUUGGAUUUGGGGGGAAAAUUGUUGUGGGCUUUUUGUAUAGUCUGCUCCCCUGAAAUUGAUUAGCGGUACCUUUGUGGAACUGUCUACAGGUGUGAUAAUUAUCUACAUCUUAGACAUCUGCUGGAAUGCUGCUUUCUAAACCUUACUUGUAUUGACAAUCUUGACCUCAAAUCAGGUAGGACUACCCGCUGAACUUAAGCAUAUCAAUAAGCGGAGGA
This 376-nucleotide unclassified non-coding RNA is filed under the name soil metagenome. Its description in RNAcentral is "partial contains 5.8S ribosomal RNA, internal transcribed spacer 2, and large subunit ribosomal RNA". The stretch from base 1 to 120 matches the Rfam family "5.8S ribosomal RNA", at positions 35 to 154 of the family's 154-position model. The record is from RNAcentral.